This is a long non-coding RNA of Mus pahari (shrew mouse), 356 nucleotides long. RefSeq lists it as uncharacterized. The transcript has 3 exons. Lineage: Eukaryota; Metazoa; Chordata; Mammalia; Rodentia; Muridae. The record is from RefSeq and is a predicted model, not a curated record.
CCCUGGCUUAUUUUUUAUUCUUCAUGCAAACAUCUGUAUCACAAACUUGGAUCCCCUGCUUAUAACUAGCAGGCAUAUACUUCAGUUACUUAUGAAGAUGCCCUUCUUAGCUCUUCUAGAAGGCGUCUAGGCUGACUCCAUGACAGACUUCAAAUUGGCAGUACAGGAGACAUGCCCAGGGCGUUUGAUUUUGCAAGGCUCCUUUGCAGAUGGGAAAGCAGGACUUCAAAGGCAAAAGAAGAGAGCAGCCUGCAAUAGAGGAUCUAGUAGCUAAGGAGAUCGCCAACCAGCAACCAGCUAACAGCAGCAGCAGCAGCAGAAACCAUCUGUAACUGGCUAAGUCACGCCCCUGCCAG